RNAcentral lists this long non-coding RNA (22001 nucleotides) under Sorghum bicolor (sorghum). Its description in RNAcentral is "long non-coding RNA (SBIC_LNC009710)". Lineage: Eukaryota; Viridiplantae; Streptophyta; Magnoliopsida; Poales; Poaceae. The record is from RNAcentral.
AGACUACACUCAAAAGAGAUGAAUGCCCUUUCAUUCCAUGUUUGUUCCUAGAACAAGGAAACAUAAUAAACCUUGGCUUAUAUAUAUAGCCCACUCUUUAUGAAUUGAAUGUUCAGACACCACCAUCACUUUGUCCCAUCUAUACUAAAUAUGCUACUAGGUUCUUGGUCCAAAUUCAAACCUAGUUGAGAAGUUGGAGGAAACCAACAUACCGGUUUCAUAUUGGUACUGAACUUACUCUAGCUACAUCCAAUGGCCAGUACAAGCUUAAGAAAUUACAUAAUAGAGCCAAUAGUUUCUAGUCGAACAUGUGUUGAAUUUUAGUUGAUACACAAAAUUUUCCAUGGGAAAUGCACGCAGGAGCACCAAUGACUUGUGCAUCUCCAAAUUAUACUUUCCAUUUCUAGGAAAACAAGCACACUCCAUAAGCAAUUCAGAGCCACAAUAAUGUAGUUUCAUCCUGAUAUGAAGAUUCGAUCAUGAAUUUUAUGAUAAAUAUCCAUUCAACAUAAAAACACCAUACUUAUACAAUAUGAGAUUCAUAUUCACUUUCCAAACAUGAAUCGGCACCACUUACAAGCACUAGAUGUUGAUGUGGUCGCUACUGACCGUCAUUUCUUCCAUAAGUUUGAUGCUUAGCCUCUUUCCAUGCAGAUAUAGUGUGCGUUUCAAGCUGCUAAUCUGUCAAGUUCGAACCAUGAGUUUCUAACUGCAGCUGAAGCGUGAUAAUUUUAUAAAACAAUUCAACCAAAUUAGCAAAUAAGACCACAUAAAGCUCAAGUAUACAUGUUUCUUUACAGUCUAUCACAUACUGUCGCGCUUUCGGUUAACAACAUACAAUGAAAUAGUGACACCCAUUAAUACGCUAGUCAUUUAUAUCUCCUUUUUGGGAGUACAUUGAGUUUUUGUUCUCCAUAAUCCUCCUAACAAUGUUUCCACAAUUUUCACUAAAUUAAUUCCAUAUUUUACAACUACUACUGACCAUUUUGGAUGUUGAAAAAUUCAACUAGCAUCCGUAUGAUAACAACCAGUUGAUAGCACUCGAUCUGCAGCAUGGAGAUUGAAAUCAAAGCCAAAUUGAUUGAAUUAGAGUUAGGGAGGGAGCGGAACCUACUAAAGAGGGGCUUUAGCUUCAGGGCAUGCGUAGCUACUAUGGAGCCAGGGCCCAUGCCGCUGCCUGAGGUGCACAUUGCAGCCGGGGUGCGAGCGGCUGCCUUGGAGAGCCAAGCCACCACCCAAUGUGUGCAUCGCCACCUUGAAGCUGGGCUACUGCUGUCUUGGGGCCACACUGCCACCCGGGUAUGCAUUGUCGCCUCGGGUCCAUGCCGCUGAUUGGGGUCGGGGGGAAGGGGACGGGAUGGUGUUGCAGCUCGGGACCUCCGGUAUGCGCUGAGCUGGAUUUGUGCGCCGCCACUUGGGUCUGCAUCAGUGGAGUCCACUGCUGCUCUGAUCGAUUCCGAAGCCGGAGGGGCACGCUGCUGCUGAGAGAGGUGAGGAGGACAGGGUGUGACUAUGUGAGGUUGAGGGUACGGUGGGGUCAGGCUUUGGAAGUGGUGCAUUUUAUGUGUUCAUGGUCACAACCAGCCUGCCUUUUGGCAUGAUUAGAAACCAACACGUCUCACUGAAAUUAAUUUUUCAGUCAGUUGUAGAAAAACCUAUAGGGAAAUUAUCGCUUCAAGUCAAACAGACAGGAACUUUUUAGUAUCCUGUAGUAUGUGUGCGUCGGAUUGUGCUAAACUGGGGUGCCAGUAUAUUAGCAGCCGGAUAGGUAUCCUUCACUGUGAAAAAGUAGUGGUCAUUAAUUCGCAUUUUUUUGAUCAAACUGCGAUCAGCGUUCUAGCUUCCAGUGAUGUGUCAUAGAUCUUUAAUUACGUCAACAGUAGUAUUCUCUGGUUAAUUCAUAGCUCGAAGUUAACCAUUUCAAAGUUCAAAUUUGAAGAACAUAACAUCACUGAAAUCAGAAUGAAUAACGUAACGCAGCCGAACACGCAUUCUGGACACAUCAGCAGAGACAAGAUGAUCAUCAGAAAUUCAGGAGUAUGAAAUUAAACCUGCAGUGCAACAGCUCGAACAUUUCAUAUAGGAGUCGACAAGUACCUAAUAAGCUUCUUUGUUUUUUUUUGACAAACUCAAGUGCCUAAUAAUGUUAUUACUGUUGUUUAUUACAGCACUGGUACAUGUCAACGUCGAUCGAUCACAUUGUAUGCACAGCGGCACACAAACAUGAUCAAGCGGCAGCGCAUCCCAUCUGCUUGCCGUCCUCCACGGUCGUCGUCGUUGCGUACUGAGGCACCCUGAGGAAGUCAAGGUGGUAGAAGCCGUCGUCGUCGGACAGGCUGCCCUUGCCGACGAUGCUGCCGCCGUUAUCCACGUCGGUGACGUAGCAGAAGGCGCCGCAGAACAAGACGAGGAAGCCCGACGCAGACAGCUGCUGCACCGAGACCAGCGUGAGCCCGGGGUCCAGCUUGGGGACGUAGCGGACGCCGGGGACCAGGACGUUCUUGUCACGAGCCUCCACGGUGCCAACGCCGGCUACCGGCAGGACUGUCCCGUCGCGCCGGUGGAAAUUAGCGGCGCAGUCGCCGGCGGCUCCGCGGUCCCGUGCAGACGACUGCUUGUCGGCAUCAAGCGAGAGGACCCCAAGGUCGCCCGUGGCGUGGAACGUGGCUCCCGAGUCCACGAUGAUGCAGUGGCGAUGAGCGGUGGGCACGGACGACGACGACGAGAAGUGCUCUUGGCUGUCCGGACAUACCUUCACCGGCGGAGAAGUUGCGCCAUGCGGUGCUUCGUGGUCUGAAGAAUCUGCUGAACACAUCAUACCACCGACUCGGCUCUCCUUAUUUCAGACGCACGACUUAACGUUAUUAUCAAGCUAUAGUCAGAAACGAAACAAUUCUUUGGACAGAGGAUGUUGGUUACCUCGUUGUGGUGGUGGAGGGGCAGCAAGUACAAGGAAACAACACUGGGUGGGCCAGCUGCAGAAAGAGGAAGACGAUCGAACGUAUACGGUGGUGGCAACAACGGUUUAACCCCUAGAUUCGUCGAUCACUUCGGACGACAUCGGCAGCUACGCCUAGAAUUUGAAGGUACCAACGAAUGAAAAGGCCAAUUUGCAGAUAAUAAAAAAACGUUUUGCCUUGUAAUUGGAUUGUCCGAAGCAGAGGACUGGCUAGCCGGCCCGCUGUCUGUCGUUACUCAUGGCUUUUUGGGUCGGGCUUUUCAACCUUAUUAUGUAGCUUUUUGAAAAAACCAAAGCCAACCAAAGGGGUAAAAAUUAAUAAUUGGUUUCGGACAAAAGCUUCUUUUCCCUGACUGCAGAGGUGGCAACUACAAAAAAAAAAAAAAUACCCACUUGCUAUUAAUUAAGAGUCUGUUUAGCAGAGCUACUCUCUAGCUCCGACUCUGGCUCCUCUAGAAAAGCACAGUGCCAAAUAUUUUUCUAAAAAAACUGUUUUUAAGUAAAAAAAUAGAAGAACCAAAGCUGUUUUGACGAAGCCAUAAUUUAUGGCUUCGCCAAAUAGCUCCGGCUUUUUAAAAAAGCCCCUUACAAGAGCCCUGCCACACACACUAAGAAAGGUUGCAGUUUGUUCUUUUUGUUUCUACACUGAGCGAUUUGUCUUCGUCCUUGGUCUCACGUGAGAGCACGUCCAGGCAUCUGCUUGGGUUUAUAAUUUCUAUGGCCUUGUUUAGUUCACCUCAAAAUUUUAAAAAAAAUUUAAAAUUUUUGUCAAAUCGAAUCUUGCAGCACAUACAUGGAGCAUUAAAUAUAGACAAAAAAUAACUAAUUGCACAAUUUAUCUAUAAUUACGAGACGAAUCUUUUAAGUCUAAUUAGUCUAUAGUUGGACAAUAAUUGUUAAAUACAAAUGAAAGUGCUACGGUAACCAAAACUAAAUUUUUUUGGAAACUUAACAAGGACUAUGUCUAUUUGUUCCUUGUGUAGCACAGCUUCACUAAUAGUUUUAUGAGGUGUUGUAAGUUUUUUUUUUUGCUAAAAACCUUUUUUUGCAAAGUGCUUGGUGGACAUAGCUCCUAAAAACCUAUUGAGACAUAGGAUUAAGGUAGGAUGAAGCUGAAAACAGUAGGUUAUCUCAAAGCUCACCAUGCAGGAAACUCAGGUUUGCCCUUGCACUACUACAGAAUGAGGUAUUGGUCUAUGCCCAAAAUCGCCAAAAGCCUCGGCCCUUUUGCGGCCCGGGGUUAAGACACCUUUAUCAUCGGUUUGUAACACAGGCCAGUGCUAAAGGGCCUGCACAACGGCUACUGACCCGUGCUAUCGGAGCAGGGACCCUUUAGCACCGGUUCAUGUUACCAACCGGUGCUAAAGGGUCCCCUUUAACACCGGUUAGUGCUGCAGGCCGAGUCAAACCCUUUAGCACCGGUUCAAGGCACAAACCGGUGCUAAAGGGUCACCUUUAGACCGGGUUUGUGCCCUUGAACCGGUGCUAAUGGGUCCGGUUUAUAGGCGAAAUCAGAGAGCACCAUUGUUGUUCCUAGAGCUUGCAUUUGUUAUUCUUGCUUGUUCUUCUUUCUUGUUCUUCAUCUCCAGUGUCCAUCGUUGAUAUUCUUCGACUCCGUCAUCAUCUCUUCGUGCUUGGAGGUGACUAUCUUCAUCCUUGUCUUUUUUACGUUGUUUUUGGCUAGUGAUUUUCCUAUUAUUUUUAGCUCAAAUCCACUUUGCAAAAAUAAAUUAUAGUAUCUUUUAAAUCUUUUUUUCUUUAUAUUAGAACAUUAGAGGAUUGGAAUUUAGUUAAUGUAUAUAGUUUACAAUAAUAAUCUUAGAUAGUUGGAUAGUUCAAAUUAAUUGGUUUGUUAAUAUCACUUGAUAGAUUUUUAUUACUACAUAAUAUCCAUUGUAUAAUUUAAAAAAUUUGUUGAAGUAGCUAGACAGAUAAAGGAUAUUAUUAGAUUCUUCUUUAAUCAUACUUGUUUAUUAGAAAAUGUGGAAUUUGUAAUUGUUUAAAAAUUGAGUAUGGAUAGUAGAUGGCAACUAUGAUCGGGUCCUCGGUCUCUCAACGGGUUCAAAAGCGAUACCGGCCAGAACUCCCUCUCAUUACUUACGGCAAGUGUGGGCAGAAGAUUGUGAUGGAGUACAAAGUGUCGAAAGAUGGAGUAAACAAGGGUCGUAUAUUCUACAAGUGCCCGGAUCGUAAUGUGACUUAUUUCCAGACAUUUGCUUAUACAUGUGCCUAUCUUUUUAAUGAUGUUAUCUCAGACCUAGGAUUAAGGUAGGAUGAAGCUGAAAACAAUAGGUUAUCUUAGAGCCCACCAUGCAGGAAACUCAGAUUUUCUUUGCGUGCACCGGGGUACAAGGGGUGAGGCUGUUGGGCUUGGCUGGUGGUUGCGAGCAACACGUGGCUAUCAUCAACCUGUUUUGCUUGAGUUUUUCUACUGAAUCUACCAACCAUUCAACUGUAUUUUUCUCUUACAACAAAUUAGCGAAUGAUACAUCUAGCCAUGGCUUAUCAGCUAAGCAAAUAGGACAUCGGGGCACGAGCAGGCGCUGCUAUCACGGCCAUGCACGAUGGCAGAGAUGAGCAGUGCAGUAGGGCUAUGAGAGCAAGGUUAAUAAUAGAGCUAAGUUCUUGACUAUAAGCCAAGUGAUAAGAGCCAAGUUAAUUAUAUAGUAGUUGUCUCGUCCUUAUCUCUAAGACAGCUUCUCAUUUCUAUUCCUUCUCACAACACUUACUAGUUGGGCUCAUUACUGCUUAUGCAUUCGUAUCUAGCUUGGUGCAUACAUAAGAGCAAAGUAUUAUCUAUCUUCUUUCUUCUUUUCUCCAUAUUAGCAUCAGCUUAUCUAUAAACAUAUUAUUAUACCUGCUCUAAAAGAGCGAGCGGUGCGGCACGACCACCGGUAUAUCCUUUCAGUGUCCAGCUAAAUGCAUAUUUAAUAAGAUAUACACAAGAGUGCCACACAAAGGAAAAAAACUAUGAAUACGGAUGGAAAAACAUAUAGAUGAGUAAUUGGUAACUUUAUCUCAAUUGGAUAAAAAGUACACUACCUAUUAUUUAUAUUGUGUUAGAAAAUGAACAUGUAGAAAAAUAUCUAAUUUUAUAGAAGUAAUUUUUGUUUUUAGAAAAAAAUAUAUUCAUAUCUCAGCUUCUGCAUUGAUCAAUACAUAUAGUUGUUCUAGUUGGAGAUAUUAAAUAACAACUUAUUGCUUACGUUUUCUAAUAUUUUUGCCCGUGCUAUAUCACAGGUUGAUGGACUAGUCCAAAUAACCGAAAGCAAUACUCCCUCCAUACCUAUAAAGAAAGUCGUUUAAGACAAUGACACGGUCUCCAAAGUUUAAUAUUGACUCCUUGUUUUUAUAAAAAUAUUUAUCAAAAAGUGGUAUAUGUAUAUUUUUAUGAAAGUAUUUUUCAAGGUAAAUCCAUUCAUAUAGUUUUUAGAUUUCCAAACUCAAUAAUUUAUCUAUGAUUUAUAUUCUCAAUGUUUGACUUAAACCUUGUCCAAGACGACUUUUUUUAUGAGAGUGGAGAGAGUACAAGGUAGUAUUAUUGGGUAACCAAAACUUGCACUAUUAAUAAAUACAUGCUAAUAUCUAAAAACCCUUGAUUUCAUUAUUGGAUGCUAUCGCGGCUACAGACAAACAAUUACCUCUUAACCAACGCCCAUGGCGUGGAAAGAAUCGAAGCCAGCAAAGAGGGCUAUCAUUCGUCCAACGUGAAUACGUGAUAUAACAUCUAAGCGUGGAGUCCAAAGAAGGCCAUAGUAAAAAAUAAUAAUAAUAACAACUCAUGUUUUAGUAUACAUUUGUGUCAUGAUUAUUAUGGCAUAUUUCUGUAUACUGGAUCUGUAUUCUAGCCCACCGCUCCCGCCCCAGCAGCAAUGGUUGCCCUCGCCCUCCCCAGCUGCGGCGACAUGCGCUCGCCGUCUCCACCGAAGGGACGCCGCAUCGUCAUGGUUAGCCACCGCAAAACGGAGCCCAACCCCGACCCAGACCCGGACCCGGACCCGGACGCCCUCUCGUUCGAGCACUCAGGUGGCCUCGCCGGCCAUGCCGCGUGGGAGGAGCUGCUUCCAGCUCAUCACCUGCUCGCGCGCUUCUCCUUCAGUCCGGUGUCCGGCUACAUCAUCUACACUACAACCUUGGGCCUCACGGUUGUCGUCAAGAUCGUUAUGGGCAGCAGCGGUGAAGUGAGUCAUCUAGGCAAGGUGUUGUCUUUGCCGGAGACAGGCUCCAAGGUGGUCAGGGAAAUCUAUAACAAGUACAUGACCCGUAAACUGCAGACCAUGGAGAAACUGCUGGAGUCGCAGUCUGAACUGCGAGGCCAGGUGGUCGUGCUCGUGAAGAUCAACAACACCCGCCACCACAUCAGCGCUCAGAUCAGCACCCGAUCUGGCUUUCCGGGAUAUGAGUUGGUCGUGCUGAUCGAUGACCCAGACCCACCGACGAUGCAAGAGCAGUUUGCGAGGGCUGACGUCUUCAUAGCCAAAACAUUGGCCACGAAGAAAACGGUGUGCAGGCCGGAAGGUCCGGUAGUUGCCCACCUCUCAGCAAGCGCACAGCGAAAGGGUAGCAUUAGCUUCAUAGCCCGGAUUUAUUUCAGGCCGAUGGCCUCGGUGCUGAGGAUGGACGUGGAAGGGAAGCAGCUACGGCAGGAGAACCACCACAGAAACCUGCUGAGCAUUGACUAUAUUAAACAAGUCAGAUGGCAUUAUGAAGAUUACGUGGAGACGGGCACAUACAGCGAGUUUGUAAAGAUAAUACGGCUGCAUUAUGAGGACAUGUCGCAACAGGAACUUUACAAAGCGACUACCCUGGAAACGAUACGAAGGGAAAAUAAAAAGAUGUCGAAGUUGAAUCGCAUUCUGAAAGUUAUGUGGUCAGAUCCACAUAACACCAAAUCUUUUGUCAGUUGUCGAAGGAAGGAUAAACCCGCUAUAUGGCUUGCACUGCACAAAUUGAUUGCAGAUCACGGCUAUUUCACAAGGUAAUCAAACACUCACUAUUAACUACUCCUUUAAUUAUUGUUCGGUAGGUAUAUAUAUAUGUUGCAGGGAGAUGGGGAUGUCAAUUAUUUGACAAGCUAGUUUGAUAUUUUUGUUUUCAAAUCAAAGUAUAGAUGUAGACACUGGAAAACGCAGACACACGUACACUCAUCUCUAUGAAUGCAUGUAUGUGCACCAUACUGCUAUGGCACCUCCGAGACACCAACUCGGGAUAUCUCGAAACUGCUAUGAAAACUUUUUUUCACUCAUGAGUUUCGAAUUGGAUUUAUAGAGGCAGGAUACAAACCUUCCAAUGCAUGCUUGAGGUCUCCGUUACAUGGUAUUUACAAAAGCGGCGGAAAAUAAUAUGUGAUUUGAAGAGUCGUGCUUAAGAUGUGCAUCUGUAUAAAUAAAAAGACAUAAAAAUGUCCCCAUCGUCGGAUCCAUUCACAGCUCGCUGACGUCCAGAGUGGACUCUUGCAUCUGCACCCCCACCCACACCUGCAAAGACCAGUGUGUUGAUCCAAUCUGUGUGGAUCUACACAUCAGCACGGCACCCAGUUGCCACCGGGUUCUCUAACGCUUUCUCUUUAUCGCAGAUCCACUCCAUGGCCCCUCCUCACUAUAUCACUAUAUCACUGUCAUUUCUUAGUUGCACCGAGCUCGCUGUCGUAGCUAUUACUUCAGACCACUGUGUAACCAACUACUACGAGAAGAGGGAGAGAGACAAACUGAUAUGGACAGAGAGAGAGAGAGGGAGAGGGAGAGGAUUGCAUGCCCACCGGCCAUGCAUGCUACAACCAUUGAUGAGACACCAGCUGUAUGGAUACAUAGUGUAGGAGUCGAGCUUGGGGCGAGGAGCUUUAUUGCGUCCGCCAUUGCCACUUGAUUUUAGGGCCAUGCACUACCAUAGCCCUUUUAGUCACAUGCUGUCAGCUGCGUGGAUGCUGCUGCCCUGUGAUGGGAGAGAAGGGGGCACAGAGAUGGUGGCACACUGUUUGCCUAGAAGGAGGGACCGUACAGACCCAAGCUACUACUAUAGCCGGAUCAGGCUCCUCCACGCCAGACCAAACUCCUCCGUUUCAAUUCUUAGCCCUUCGUGAGAGCUCAAGGAGAGAAGUGAAAGGUGCCACUAGGAGUGGCUACGAUGAAGGGGAGAGGAGAAAGGAGAGAGCUGGCCGGUGCUAGGCAGCGAUCAAGGGAGUUUGGCACUUGGUGGUUGAUGUUGUUUUAAUUAAGUAUUACUAUUGUGUAUGAAUUUGAGACCAUGACUAGUUGAAAUGGCUUAUGUUCUCCAAUUGCUCAUAUUCUCAUAUGAUAGUGUCGUAGAUUCUUUCUUAUAUAUCUUUGAGCCAUUGUGAUAGAUUUAGUUACUAAUUAUUCUAUAUAUAUAGUUUACCAUCCCAUUUCAUUAUUGUACUCGUUGCUUUGCAUCAUUUUAAUUUGUAUGUUUAACUUGCAUUUAUUAGGUCAAAGAACUAUGUGUUAUGUUUUUAUUUAUAUUAACCCAAUACUCAUACAUACUUUUUCUUUACUUUAUAUAGUGCUCCAUCCCCAUUAUUGUUUUUAUUUUCUCAAUUGUUUCACAUCACACAUAUCUAUUUAACUUGUGCUGAAUUAUUUCCGGCUGACAUCUCGCAUUCGAAAAGAAAAGUACUCCAAUAGAUAUAGUGUCAUCUUUAUUGACUUCUAAUGGACCUAAGCUACAAACGAAUCUAUAUGUUUCUCCAUCCUAUUCUUAUUUUCCUUUUGCAUUGCAUAUUCAUGCAUGUCAGCCAUCUAAACCUUAUUUCAUCAAUAUAUUUUCCUUAGAAAUCGACAUGACCAUGGAUUCAUGCAUAUGUCUACAUGGAGAUAGUAGACGCAUCAUUCAUGCAUGUCUCAAAUUAUUACUUUUUCUGUAUUAAAAAUGAAACAAGUGUUAGAACCAUGUCUCGAGGUACUUUGGGGAUAUAUUUUAUAAUUACAUACAUAUUUGGUUAGUUUAGAUUUUUUUUUGGUGCAAAGUUAUGUUCUUUUUAAUAGUAGUGGAGGGUACAUAAUUUACACAACAAAUUAUGGGGUUACUUAUUACUACUUGAGAUACUCUUUUCCUAAAUUCUAUAUCAUUGAAAAUUUUACACAUGUCUGACAUCAUGAUAUUUUUAAUAAAGUGGAGUUUCGUAAUUUUGAUGCCAGUUUAUGGCUUGCAUUUUAUUAUGUUUCAUAAUCAUAUGUAUGAGUAACUUAAAUGAGGAUUAAGGGUUUCUUUACUCUAUUUUAUAAGGUGGUUGUUGUUGGGUAUUUAGAUGAUUCUUUUUCUAUAAUUAAUAAUAUGAUAGACACGGCUAUUGUUUUUUGAAAGCAUAAUUGAUCCCGCUAUCAUUGUCAACGAUAUGAUUAUAUAUUUAUCAAUACAUGGGUAGAUGUUUAUGAUUUCUCCAAUGAUUUCUUUAGGACAUUUUUUCUUUUGGUGUCUUGUGGACAUUAAGGAGGAGGCUUCUUUUCAAGAAAUAUUAAAGCGCUUAUGAUUUAUUUUGUACUAGUACAAGGUUUCCAACAGGUGGUGUUCUUGUUUUGUAUUUUGUAUCAUUAUUUAUGUACAUGUGUGUUUCAGCAAGUUUGUGAUAUUUUUUUUUCAGUAAAAAGGCCACACUGUCGGUGAGGAAAGAAAGCUGUCUUGCACAGCUAGUAGCUGCCUGCAAUUCUUCAGCAUCCACAGGCGGACACAGCGUUAUGGUCCUGCUUAAUGGAAGCAGGCGUCCCCCUAUUCGCUUGCUUCUGGACUCUGGUGCCAGUAUGCAUGUGGUCGGCGAUGCAGGGCUCCUACACAACCUCCGUCAUCUUCCCGGAGCUGCAGCCCGUUUCGCAACAUUGCCAGAUGGAUCUCGCUUGCCUAUCAUUGGCGUUGGUACCGUGCUGAUGGACGGCUUCAGAAUCCCCAAUGUCUAUCUAGUGGAGGGGGUGACGGUGAACUUGGUUUCGGUCAGCCGGCUCGCCACGGAGCACGACAUAUGCUGCUGCUUUUACAGAAACCGAUGCCAGCUGAUGCUGCUCGCUGACGGGCGGACUGGGGUUGUUGGAGAAGCCGUCCUGGAUGAUGAUGGUGUCUACGGCCUUCGGUUCCUUCGAGUUCCAGAAGCAACUGCCACUACUACAGAAUGAGACAUUGGUCGAUGUCCAAAAUCACCAAAAACCUCAGCCUUUAGUCCCGGAAGGGCAGCACCGGCUUGGGAACCGGGGCAACAGGCCCUUCCCGACCGGUGCUAAUGCCCGUCCUGCACCAGUGUGCCUGAUUGAUUGCCAGAAACUUUGUUAAACUAGUUAAUAAAGCAUGCAUCUUUCUAUUUUGUUUUACUUUUUAAUAAAAUCUCCUGUUUGGCCUCCGAGCCCCUCUAAUUUCCUCAAAAAAAAAUUUAAAACAUACAUUUAUCUCUGAAGGACAGAAAACGGCGACCAGAAGAGGGAUGAAUGAGAGCCACAAAUUUCUUUUGAAAUAUUUGGCCGAUAUCCUAAAAUCAGCCCAAGCACAAGCAGAGUUUUAGAACUAAGAUACCUAAGUCAACUAGUGACGAGAGUACCUAGAAAAAAAUUCUCGGAACAGUAGAAAACCAACGCAAUAGAUAAAAACCAAUUCGGGGCACGAACAACCAAACUGCACGCAAAACAGAAAAUUAGAGCUGGAGAAAAAGACCGGAAAAUCCCCUAGAAAAUUUGAUCAACACAGAAUAGACCGAGCACUACGGGAAACCAAGGUUUUGCCGAGUGUCAUAUGCUUUGCCGAGUGCCAAAUGUCGGACACUCAACAAAGAAGCUCUUUGCCGAGUGCUCGAAGGAUGGCCUUUGGCAAACAGGCUCUUUGCAGAGUGCCGGGCACUCGGCAAAGCACGACUAUGGUACGCACCGUCAACCUUUGCCAAGUGUCACAAUUUGACACUCGACAAAGAUGUGCCAGGAUCGAACACUCGGCAAAGUUUUUUUUAUUUUUUCCCUCCAAACUUUAUCAUAGGCAUUCAAGAGGGGUAGCACGCCAGCCUAGGGCUCUUGGGUCUGCACAGCUAGAUGCUCAUAAAGAUGGCAGUGUAUCGUGUUCGGGGUAGAUAUCCGCGGGUUUCAGUUCCUCGGGUUUUGGUUCUGGUGCCUGUUUUUUGCCUAUGGUUUUGCGGAUUCAGAUACCUGGAAUACUGCGAGUUUGGCAUGGAUCCUAAUUUUCACCCAUGGUGCUCCAUCGGGCCUAAAAGAUGCAGCCUAUUAAAAGCCCAAUAACCAACCCUAAGUAUAUAAACUUGAUUACCUCACUCCCUCAGCCUCAGCCCUAUCUGCCACCGCACGGCCUCAACUUCUGCAGUUCUGCUCCCGCAGCAGCAGGAACUUGGGUUGCUUUUCUACUAGUCAAUAUAUGGCAUUGCUAGACUUGCAUGUUUCAUGUUUCUGGACAGUACACGAACAUACUAGCCUGCUAGGCUGCUACCUCUAUAUGCAUGUUCUGUAUCGUCUAUCAUACUCAGUAUCAUCUCUUAUGUUCUGUACAUUGCAUGCUACUUGGUACUUGCUAGUACUUGCAUGAUCUAUAUCUAUUUGGCAUCAGUUUGUUGUCUCUGCUAAUUUAUUGUAAUAUUUUCAGGUGUCGGUUAAUCCGUCAGGUUUCAGGGAUCGGCGGGUUUCGGUUUUGGGUGGGUUUGGGUUUUAAUUUUGGGGUUCGGUUUUGGGUGCCCAGAGACUCUACCUGAUCCGAACCCGCCCCAUUGCCAUCAUUUGGUGCUCACGUGCUCUGCUCGAUCCACUCACAGAGGGAAAUAAAAAUUCAACCGCGAAUACCUCUCAAGAAAAAUGGAAUAAAUCAAUUUCCAAAAAGAAAGCUAACGAAAGCAAGAGUAUAGUACUUCACUCUUGCAAAGACGAAUCGACGUCCGAACAAGUAGGAACCAAUCAGAAGGCUCAGAGAAAGCACGCGCUGGACUGUUGGUGGUGACCAGAGAUAAUUCCGGUGGUGAAGAGAAACAAGUAGGAACCAAUCAGAAGGCUCAGAAACAAGCCUGGUGCACGCGGUGCUGAAGAGAAGAGUGAGAGAGUGUGGCCGGUGUGUGAGAGCAGAGUGAGAGAGGUGCAAAGGAGAGGGGGCUUCCAGUGGCACUAAGGAUUGAGGGCGGAAAUAGAGUGCCCAGGUGAGAGAGAGCCCCCCUCCCCACACCGCCGGCGCCCCUCACGGCGCCGCCGGCCACCGGUCUAAGCCCUGUGCAGGCUACCCAGGCGUCAAGUCCUGAGCCUAAGCAUGCCCCCCAGUCCCCCAACGUGCCAGAGGAUGACGAAGUGGAGGUCCUGGACUGGGACGAAGCUGGCGACCACUGCUGCACGAAGAGCUUUUUGUCACGGUUGAAACAUGCCUUUAGUCUUGGGCUGUGAGCCUGAACAAAGAUUUCGGAAUUAAAUGUCCCACAUUUAGUCCCGGUUCGUAGGCCUGGAACUAAAGGAGGACCUUUAGUCCCAGUUGGUAAUACCAACUGGGACAAAAGGGCUCGCCACUAACUGAUGUGGUGCAGCCCUUUUUAGUUCCGGUUGGUAUUACCAACCGGAACUAAAGUUUUUUUUUUCUUUUUACCUUUUCUUUUCAUUUUAUUAUUGAUUUUGGUUUUCAAUUAUAUUGUUUUCCAAUUUAUUCUUCGCUGCUAUUAUCCAUACACGUUGCACCUAUACGAGAGCGUUAUUAUUGCACACAAAUAAAGUAUACUAUAUAUAUAUUAUAGAGCUAUACAUAUACGUACAUAUACAUUACAUUUAUAAUAAUGUACAAGUAAUCAAGUGUUCGGCCGCUGGUUAUAGGUUAUACAAAUGUUUGCCUGUCGCUCAAAGCUAGCUCAUACAAGUGUUCAUCCUUGUUUGCACUGUUCAAUCUCAACCUAGGGUUGUAGUGGAACUCGGUGUCUUCGGGGAUGACAUGAUCGUUGAUGAAACCUGCUAUCGUCUCUUGGAUUGCGACGAGUAUUGUGUAGUCGAACACUUGUUCUUUCAAUUCCCACUCCUUCCAUUUGCAUUAAUUAAAGGAAAAUAUAUUAAUAUACAUAAGAUUUAUUUACUUUCAACAAAUAAAUAAGGUAUGAAUUUAAUGUAUACACAUGUUACUUACUUUGACCAUCUGUUUAGAAAGUGUAAAUUUGGUACACCGCAUGUACUCGCAAACGUAGUAUCCACAUAAAUUUGUACCAUGCCUAGGAACCCACCUAUGUAGAAUAGGAGUGGGAAGUGGCGCUUUCUGAUCCGUACGAUAUCUUUGUACGAACCAAGCCCAAGCCCUGCCCAAUAAGUCGGUCAUUGAUUAGGUAUAGCAUAGUAAAGUAAAAGAGCAUGCAUCGAUAUUUAAAGAAUGAUAUAACUUACCUCUGGAUCAUGUCUAUCAUGUCUUGGUACAUUGCCAGCUCUUUUCUCGUUGAGUCCUAGACACAUAUACAUUUGUUCUUGAUCUUAAUCUCAAUGAGUAUCCAGUGAUCACUGCAUUUGUUUAUAGAGUCUACAAUACAAUAUUUUUUUUGAAAGGCGGCAGAAAGUUUUUGCCGUAUUUUUAUUAGAUGAGAAAAAAUAAAAAGAAAUACAGUAUAAUUACAACUCCCACUUAAAAACACUCAACCACUGGAGCCAGCUACUCACAACAAAACAAAGACAAAAUAAAGAUAAAGAAAAAAACAAGAGAAAAACUUGUGGGGGUUAAUGCUGAGCUUCCACGUUUGGACUAAAGGCCAAGUGGAACUGAUCUAUGUCUUCCUUGCAUAAUCGUGCCACUUCUUUUGGUCACAGAUUCCAAAUAUUCCACCAAAAUUAUAUCAUGAGGCCAUCAAAAUUUCUCCUAUGGGGUUUGUCUAUCUGUAGCCUGCAUCUGCGACAGUACCCAUGGAGGGAUCCAUUUUCUCCCACCGUGUCAAUAGUUGAUAAUCUGAACCAAUUUUUCAUCAUGGCCCAUACUUGUUUUGUGAGAGGGCAAUCCUUGCACAAGUACGUUGGAUUUUCCAGAUUGACUCCACAUAGUUUGCACACGGGGUCAUUUGGCCAAUUUUUUUGCUAUAAAAAAUCAUAUAUUUAUAUAGAUAUUAAAUAAGACCAUGUCUCCUGCUUGCCCCCCUGGCUCGGUGAUCCCUACAAUGCUUUGGGUGGGGAGAGGGGGUGUUUGCUAAAAAAAAAAACAUGCCGACAGAAUGAAAACACGCAUUGUACAUGCCAAUGCCAACGGGACUCGCAUUUUCUUUUCCCACUAGUCCAUAAAUGUAUAAUUGGGAUGGCACGCGCUUGAGUAUAACCACUAGGAAACAGAGAGCUGUCUCCCAUAUGCAGUGAAAUGGUGAUCGAGAGUCGCAGAUGAACAUGGGCACAUGGCGUACGUUCGCUGGCCAGCAUUGAUUCUCGUCGAGCACCACUUAUCAUGUGUAUAAAUUUGGAGACCAAAUUAAUUUCUCUGAACGAGCGAUCCGAUCAGUUUAGUGCAUGACAAAGAGUAGUCUGAAGAACCAAGCACUUAAGAACAAUCAACCACAGUAAUCACCAGCAUGGCCCAGUACAAGUUUACUGAAACAGAAAACAACACGACACAACACAACACAACACAAUCUAACAAAAAUUGAAACUAUUCUAUCUUAUUACCUUGCCUAAUCGCCUAAAAUAGAAACGAUGAAGGCCAUGUUUGGUUCCUUCUGUUUUUUUUUAACACUCAUCACAUCAAAUACUUAGGCACAUGUAUGGAGUACUAAAUAUAGACUAUUUACAAAACUAAAAAUACAGCUAAAGAAUAAUUUAGGAGACGAAUUUUUUAAACCUAAUUAAUCUAUUAUUGGACACUAAUUGCCAAAUAGACGAAGAUGCUAUAGUACUUGUUAAACCUUAACAGCUUCAAUCAAACACCCUCGAAGUAGGUCAUGCCGUAGGCUUUCCAAUUCAGGAAAUCUGAAGUAAACAAAUAUAUGCCAGCACAAAUGGAUGGCAUGAGCAUAUACGGCGUAGCUAGCGGGACAUCACUGAGUACGCAUAGGAACCCUAAUUAACUUCUACUAGGUGAGCACAACUUCAAUAAGUUCGAAAGAAAAGCCACGUCCAUAUGUAUAGGCUUUUAAUUUAAUGCUGCAAUAUCUCGCUGAAGACAAGUUCCUUCUAUCCUCUUCUCUGGAUUAAUGGAAAUCCAAGUUGCCCACGUAGCAAAAGAUGAAACUUUCAGAGAUGCCACACUAGCAAACUGCCACCAAGGCCUUAUAUAUUUUGAUGUUACCAUAUUAACCUCAAUCCACAUGUGUUGGGUGGAUUGAGGUGGAAUUUAGUUCAAGUUAUACUCUAAUCUUCUCCUACAUGUGGAUUGAUGCGAUUUUGAUUACAUCCAAACAAGACCUUAUAUGUAAAUGAUUCACACAGUCGAACCAUAUGACGACGGAAAUGGAAGAACAAACAUAAUUGCUUUGAAAUUGGAACCUGAACAAAUAAAUGGAAAACUUUAAUUCAACAUCUUCAUUCUAAGCGGUGAACAAUACAAACUUGGCACUAUUUGACUAUAUAUAUAUAGGAGGAUUCUCCGCGCGUUGCCGUGGGUGUGAAGGAGGAAUAUAAAUAUAUUCUCACUAUAGUCUGUCGAGUUAUCUAUAUAUAGCUUAAUUAUUAGUAGCUAGUUUUCGAGAAGGAAAAGAGAAAGUCAUCUAUAUAUAUAGAUUGGUAAUCUUCCAUAAAACCGGGGGCUGUUUCCACAAAAACAGAGGUGUUACCAGUGCCAUAGUUCAUGUAAGAUUUUGGAGCAGCACUUUAUUGUUCUCCACAUCCACAUGUGCUAUAAAUUGCCACAAUGGGAGGAGCCCUUGUUCUUUCACUCAUCCCCCAUCUGCUUUGUUCUUCAUCUAUACACAAAACGAAGUCAAGUAAUGGAGACUUCACGGAGGAGCCUGUAUGCAGGGUUCGUGAUUGUCCUCCUUCUCAUCGUCGUCACAGGCCAUGGUAUGUGCGCACGCAUAAGGAGUCAUAAGCUAUUACUGAACCAAAAAAAUAAGUUCUUUGUCACAUGAUUUGGCUAACUUUCACAUAUGCAUGUGCGUCUUCUCAAAGGGACGGCGCCUACUCAGGGAUUCGGUGAUGGCCCAGGCCCGCUACCCCCAUGCUAUCAUUGGAGUACUUACUAUCAUGGGCUCUGCGUUUGGAAUGAAAUCUGCACAGGUCUUUGCCGACGCCAGGAUCGCAGCCAAUUUAUUCGCGGCACGUGUCGUGGCUACCCUGCUAAAUGCUUUUGCCUCUCAUGCUGACCCAUAGUGGUGGUGGUGGGCAUAAUAAUAGUGUUGCCUCCAUGUAAUGUUGUCAUUUGGCCAAUCAUUUGAGAUGGUGAAAUAAAAUUGCUGGAGCUCUACACCAAAACAUGAUUAUCAUUUUUGUAGCAAUGGUACGUGAAAGUAUAAGCUCCAUGCUUACACUAUGUGAUACUACUCUAAACUUGCAUGACAAUCAGACUAGAGAAUUCACUAAGGGAUGAGGAACCGGUGCUAUUGAGUAACCAUUUAUGGUAAACAAGGCUUAUAUUAUAAUACUAUGGCCUAAAAUAGUACUUAAGAGAAAGUAAUAUAUCGAAUACUCGAUAAGUUUUACAAAAGGAAAGAUACAAGAUUUAUACAAGACUCCUGAAGUCUACUUCUAGAAUCAAAGCAAGCUGACUCAACUCUAAAUCCCACUAAACUAGUUUAAGCUAAAGGGAUUUAGUAAGAGCGGUACUUCUUAUUCAUCUUCUUAUUGUUGUUCCUACUAAACUAUUCAAAAACACCCCUUGAGGCUAGGAACUGUAACCAGCACCUCCCUCGGACCAAGACCUAUACCUCGUGCUACACACCACAACACGCUUAGAUAAUGAGUCUCCAUUAACCUCGCACCUCAGUUGUGAAUGCACUAGAACCCCAAAUUCCAUCUCUUCAUCUUAAAUCGAAAUUUCCCAGAAUUCAUAUUUUGUGGGGUUGCCUGGUGUCCUGAUGGACCGUCCACCAAAACAAUUUUGCAGCAGGAUUGUAACACCCCCUGUUUUCCCAUCAUGAUAAAAUUCAGUAAAAAAAAUCUGAACUUUUAAAAUUUUACAGCAAAUUAAAACUUGAUUAACCUAUUUUCCCGCAAAACCGUCUCAGAAAAUGUUUAUAUUCAAAACCUUGCAUUUAAAUUUCACCAUCUGCAUUUUUAGUUCCCGCAAAAACCGUCUCAGAAAAUGUUUAUAUUCAAAACCUUGCAUUUAAAUUUCACCAUCUGCAUUUUUAGUGCUUGUGUGUUUUAGACUUUAAUUGCGUCACAAAAAUAUUUUUCUCUUGACUUUUCUAAAAUCUCCAAAUAGCACCGUUCCAAAUUCCUUGAACAAAGAAAUAAUUUUUCUCUUCUAAAAUUCUUUGUUGUCUCCUGUUCACCGAGCACGUAGCCCACUGCUCCCUCCACACCGUCUCGGAUGGGCUCAGCCCAAUGCCAAUUCCGGCCCAGGUCGCACGGCACCGCGUCGGCAUCGUAUCGUAUAUUCGUCAUUCGGCAUGCUACAACGUAUUCGUCGGUGACUCAGAGCGACGCAAUUCCUAUUCUUCAUUCAUUCAUAGUAUGCUCCAGGUAGUGAAUUGUGUUCACAUUAGACCAUAUUUCAGGAAUUGGAUGGUAAUGCAAAUUGUGUGCCUAGUCUAUGACAUGCAAAUGGUCUUGUACUCAGUGCACACACUUCACCUAAAUUAAUAAGGGAAAUACCAAAUGCUGAAGGGAUUAAUGGUGUGGAAAUAACCAAGCAAAAUAUGUGUGAUACAAAAUGUAAAAUUAAUCAUAUCUUAUGAAAUGGAUGGUAUGAAAGUUAGAAAGUGUGAUAAUCAAACACUACAGUAGGAAACUCAUUAAUUUUAGAGGCAAAAAAAUUUUGGUUUGCAUUGUAACAUUAUUUAAUUCGAGGCGCGAUAGGAAGUAUCUUACCUUGUGAAAAGAAGUGCAGCACUAUAAUAAAUGUCUAGUAGCUGGAGACAUAGUUUCAAAAAUUGAGAGAUUUGGGGGGCACCAAAAACUGGGCAUGAUUAUGCAGAACCUCAUAAGUUGGUUGCCAAAAAAUAAAAAAUGUGGUUCCAUGGAUAAUACGACAUUAUCAUCUUCCGGUAGUCAAAAGCUUCAUCCAUGCAAAAUGAAAAGCCGUCUAAAUUGCCGCCACCGCCAGAGUUUGGCACCGGAGUUUGCGACGGGAACUCUAUCGGGGGCACGUGCAAAGCUCCGCAGGCACUACUAGCACCGACGAAAGGUCAUGGGAGAGCUCAGCAGAGGUAAUGCUGGCCCCUGGAGACCAUCAUGUUCUUGGCACUACCCUCAAGACAACCGAGGUGGAGUGCUAUAUCCUACCGGGACGUCGUAAUGGCUGAGCAGAAGCACGACGGAGGCGGCGCGAUGUGGUGAGGCGCUGUUGAGUAGGGGACACAUUCGAGGUGAAGCAGGAUGGGUGGCGACCGUAGUCAAGGCGGAGCAGAGAUAUUUAAACUCGACUGCAAGGAUGACCGUUCAUUUUCUUAUGCAUUUGUUGCGGUAGAAUCAAUGAGACAAUAAUUUUUGUGCCUGUUCAGUUCAUGGGCAAAGAGGAAGCGCGACUCCAAAGAAAGCUUGUUCAGUUGCUGAAUGGCGGCUCCAAAUAAAAUGGAUGACGUGGCUUGAGGAGAUGCUAUAAAAAUAUUUUAGUGGGGUUCUCCUAUAAGAAGAUACGAAAAUGAGAAGAUACCGUGAAUGCCAGUAAUAAUUGGGCCGGGGCAUCAUAUUUCGGCGGCAUGAUAGAGAUUGGGCUUUUCCUUACCCAACUGAGUAAAUGGUCGUAUCUUUUUUUAUGACAUCGACUAUGUAUUUAGUGGAAACCUAUUAUAAUUUCUUGUUGUAUCUUUUUUUAUGAUAUCAUGAAUCUAUAUAUAACUUUCAAAUGCAAAUCUUAUCAGGUGUUGCAAUUUUUUAUCCACUUUUUAAUUGAAACACUAGUGGUCAUUGUAUCUUUUAUUUGAAUAUUUUGCUUUCAUAUGAAAAAUACCACGAAAAAAAGGUUCUGCCGAAUCAUACCACCACAAGGCCAUGACCCGAUCCAUGGCUAAGCAAAGUAUCUCCUGAUGUUGCAGUUGCAGUUGCUGUCCACCGCAGGGCCGAGCACAGCAGCAAUCGUACAGCAUGCUCCUCAUCAACACCGCACCAUCGCUGCCAUGCUAGGACUACCUCCACACCGCGCACCUCUGCAGCCAGAUCCACCCAUGUAGAUCCGGCCAGGGGUAUGGACGGAUUCGCAUGUCAGAGGCCCCGGCUGCCGCCCCUGUCACCAAUUCACCAUGAUAAAUAUUAAUGCUAUGCAAUUUGGUUGGUACGAAAAUUAAGAAACGGGCAAAAGUUAUGGUUAUUUCAAGUUGGCUCGGACUAUAUUUUGAUACUUUUUAAUUUAUUAACACUGUUUCUAUUUUGGCUUGGACUAUAUCUAUUUCUUAUUCGGAUAUGCUUGCUUCAUGGUAGACUAUAUAUGCAUGAUUCAUGAAUUGGCUGCAAAUAAUCUAAAUCGUGUGCCAAAUCUAUACCAAAUGCCAAAGGGAUGAAAUAUAUGUACGGAAAUAAAAAGCAAAAUAUGCGUGACACACUGCCACACAAAAAGUAUAAUUAAUUAUGUCAUGCAAAAUGGAUGGUGCAAAAGCUGGAAAGUCUAGCAAACACAUUAAUUUUGGAGCCCCAAGGAACACUGCAGGACAGCCUUUAUUUACUUCUCUGACAGCUGUUAAUCUUCCCAUGCAACUUGCAAUAUAGGAUCUUUUCUCAAAAACUACAAUAUAGGAUAGAAUGUCGAGUCUGUAAAAUUUCAUUCCAUAACUGUAUAUGCCCACUCCCACCAGCCAACUUUCAAUCUUAGCAAUCGAAUCACUACUAAAUAAAUCUCAUCACCGCUGGUUCUGAACACAUCGCCACAAUCAGCUUAUAGCCUCAGUUGGACUUUUCCUUGACCCAACUAAGGAAAUGGUCAUAUCUGCUCUGUUGUCUAUUGAUUUGAACAAAAUGAAAUAUCUUUAUGUAUCUUCUUAUAUGCACACACAAAAUAAAGAAAGCAGGAAAGUGUUUUGAUUCAUACAAAGUUGUAUCAUUAACAUUCUAGGAGUAAACAUUAUUAGUGAUACAUAUAAGCAUGGAAGUCUGGACAUAAACACACACUAUUGAUGAUGCACUCAUACAAUUCAAAUGUAUAGUCAAACAGAUUCUUUUUGAAAGACUUCAUUCAAAGAGAUGAAUGCCCUUUCAUUCCAUGUUUGUUUCUAGAACAAGAAAACAUAGUAAACCUUGCUUAUAUAUAGCCCACUCUUUGUGAAUUGAAUGUUCAGACACCACCAUCACUUUGUCCCAUCUAUGCUAAACAUGCUACUAGGUUCGUUGUCCAAAUUCAAACCUAGUUGAGCAGUUGGAGGAAACCAACAUGCCAGUUUCAUAUUGGUAUUGAGCUUACUCUAGCUACACCCAACGGUCAGUACAAGCUUAAUAAAUUAGUUACAUAAUAGAGCCAAUAGUUUCCAGUGGAACAGGUGUUGAAUUUCAAUUGAUACACAAAAUUUGCCAUGGGAAAUGCAAGUAGGAGCACCAAUGAAUUGUGCAUCUCCAAAUUAUACUUUCCAUUUCUAGGAAAACAAGCACACCCCAUAAGCAAUUUAGAGCCACAGUAAUGUAGUUUCGUCCUGAUAUGAAGGUUCGAUCAUGAAUUUUAUGAUAAACAUCAAUUCAACAUAAAAACACCAUACUUAGACAAUAUGAGAUUGAUAUUCACUUUCCAAACAUAGAUCAACACCACUUACAAGCACUAGAUGUUGAUAUGGUUGCCACUGACCAUCAUCUCUUCCAUAAGUUUGUAUCCUCUUUCCAUGCAGAUAUCGUAUGCGUUUCAAGUUGCUAUUCUGUCAAGUUCAAGCCAUGAGUUUCUAGCUGCCGCUGAAGCAUGAUAAUUUUAUAAAAUAAUUCAACAAAAGUAGCAUCCAAAGAUAAGACCACAUAAAGCUCAACCAUGUACAUUUCUUUACUGUCCAUCACAUACUAUAAUGCUCUUGGUUUACAACACCCAUUAAUACACUUGUCAUUUAUAUCUCUGUUCUGGG